Molecule: ribosomal RNA, 720 nt
Filed under: uncultured bacterium
Lineage: Bacteria
Description: bacterial SSU rRNA
Rfam family: Bacterial small subunit ribosomal RNA
Source: RNAcentral
AGGCCUGAGGGUUGUAAAGCACUYYCWUUACUGAGGAAGUGUCAUUGAUUAAGAGUUGAUGACAUUGACGUUAGGUAAAGAAGAAGCACCGGCUAACUCCGUGCCAGCAGCCGCGGUAAUACGGAGGGUGCGAGCGUUAAUCGGAAUUACUGGGCGUAAAGCGCACGUAGGUGGUUAUUUAAGUUAACUGUGAAAGUCCUGGGCUUAACCUGGGAAUGCCAGUUAAUACUGGAUAGCUAGAGUACAGUAGAGGGUAGUGGAAUUUCCGGUGUAGCGGUGAAAUGCGUAGAGAUCGGAAGGAACAUCAGUGGCGAAGGCGGCUACCUGGACUGAUACUGACACUGAGGAGCGAAAGCGUGGGGAGCGAACAGGAUUAGAUACCCUGGUAGUCCACGCUGUAAACGAUGUCAACUAGCUGUUGGUGUCCAUGAGGCAUUAGUGGCGCAGCUAACGCGUUAAGUUGACCGCCUGGGGAGUACGGCCGCAAGGCUAAAACUCAAAGGAGUUGACGGGGGCCCGCACAAGCGGUGGAGCAUGUGGUUUAAUUCGAUGCAACGCGAAGAACCUUACCUACUCUUGACAUCCUUGGAAAGCUUUAGAGAUAGAGCUGUGCCUUCGGGAGCCAAGUGACAGGUGCUGCAUGGCUGUCGUCAGCUCGUGUCGUGAGAUGUUGGGUUAAGUCCCGUAACGAGCGCAACCCUUAUCCUUAGUUGCCAGCAU